GAUGAACGCUGGCGGCGUGCCUAAUACAUGCAAGUCGAGCGAACGGACGAGAAGCUUGCUUCUCUGAUGUUAGCGGCGGACGGGUGAGUAACACGUGGAUAACCUACCUAUAAGACUGGGAUAACUUCGGGAAACCGGAGCUAAUACCGGAUAAUAUUUUGAACCGCAUGGUUCAAAAGUGAAAGACGGUCUUGCUGUCACUUAUAGAUGGAUCCGCGCUGCAUUAGCUAGUUGGUAAGGUAACGGCUUACCAAGGCAACGAUGCAUAGCCGACCUGAGAGGGUGAUCGGCCACACUGGAACUGAGCCACGGUCCAGACUCCUGCGGGAGGCAGCAGUAGGGAAUCUUCCGCAAUGGGCGAAAGCCUGACGGAGCAACGCCGCGUGAGUGAUGAAGGUCUUCGGAUCGUAAAACUCUGUUAUUAGGGAAGAACAUAUGUGUAAGUAACUGUGCACAUCUUGACGGUACCUAAUCAGAAAGCCACGGCUAACUACGUG
This 497-nucleotide ribosomal RNA is filed under the name uncultured bacterium. RNAcentral's name for it is "partial 16S ribosomal RNA". It matches the Rfam family "Bacterial small subunit ribosomal RNA", at positions 28 to 507 of the family's 1533-position model. The record is from RNAcentral.